UUUCUCUUGUUUCGUCAUUUUUUCAUUUUUUUCUUCUAUGCUUGCUUUUUUUUCUUGUGUUUUGUACAGAUUUGUUCGCGGUGGGGGAGCUCGCGGGCAGUCCCCGGUGCUCCUCAACCCUAGGCCCAAGCUGCGGACCGGCGCUACUCCGCGGCAUGGAUGACACUGCAGAAGCAGGCGGCGGAGGGCGGAGCCAUUGCCG
Molecule: long non-coding RNA, 202 nt
Filed under: Setaria italica (foxtail millet)
Lineage: Eukaryota; Viridiplantae; Streptophyta; Magnoliopsida; Poales; Poaceae
Description: long non-coding RNA (SITA_LNC003865)
Source: RNAcentral